This is a long non-coding RNA of Canis lupus familiaris (dog), 1940 nucleotides long. RefSeq lists it as uncharacterized. The record is from RefSeq and is a predicted model, not a curated record. The transcript is spliced from 3 exons. NCBI's taxonomy places the organism in Eukaryota, Metazoa, Chordata, Mammalia, Carnivora, Canidae.
CAAGAACACGAAGGGAACGUACAAAUCUGAGUGUCCCUGCUUUAGACGCCAGAGGUCGUGGAGAGGACAGGGUGUCCUGAGGAUGGUGCCCUCGUGUGAAGGGGCAGGCGGUACACGCGUGGCGUGCAGAGCAGGCCUGCCGCCUGAGAACUGCAGAGCGAGGGGACAUGGACUGAGCUUCUUCAUUUAAGGAAGGAAACGCCUCGCCGCCUCCUAUGUGCUGAGCUUGGCUCUGAGCACCGGGAGCCUUGAAUAGUGCCGCUGCCCUGGGCAGGGAUGGGGGGGGUGUGCUGUACGGGGAAGACGGAGGAGAUGGAGGUCAAGGGAGGUCAGUGGUCACCCCAGGCAGGGGCUGAUGAAGUGCAAUAAGGAGCCACUUCAUUCCAGAGACCGGAGGCCUCCAAGCUGGGAAAUAAGGGCCUCUGGGCACAGCCCCUGCCAGUCCUGCGGCGCGUGGGGCAAGGUGCACGGAGUGCUGCUGCCAGUAGCCGUUGGGGCCUCAGAUGGGGCGGGGGGGGCCUCUGGAGAAGAGACAGCAAGGAGAUGACCCCAACCCUGGAAAGACAGAGCCACCACUGUCUGAGCUUGCUGGAGCCGUUAAUCGGUCUUUUGCCACUUUAAUUUGCGUGCCCUGAGGCCAGAAUCCAAGAGGGUAGAAGGAAGACAGCAGUGAAGUUUCCACAGCCUGAUCCGGGCACUGGUGCGAUUCUGCGAGCUCGCCCACCUCAGCUCAUUGCCACUUGAGGCUACGCUCCACCUGGAAAUGCUCGUGAUUCCUGGCACCAGACAGACACCGGGGUCAUCCGUGCUUAGAGCGGAGUGGCUGGCGAGGUGAGCACACAGGGAGAGUGGAGGAGACUCCCCAAGCAUGGGGGUGCAGAGGCUUCAGGCCAGCUAGAGAUCCCCGUGGGGUCCUUGGGGGGCCUGGGCUUCCCCAGAAGCCCCCGAGACACUGACCUGAAGGCUCCAGAGUCCUAGAGAAUCAGGAAGGCGCCCGAAGGCACCACCUUCCUCAGCAAGGGUGGCAAUGUGAGCCCAGGGGCGGGGGUUUCUCCCGGGUCACCGGGCAGGCUGGCCAAGGCCGGGCCCUCCGGCACUUUCCUCUGGAAAUAGCACCUGCCAGGAGGGGGUGACAGGGACCGGGAGUGACACGGUGAGAUGGGGUGGAGGGGCGGCCUCCUGGCCUGCAGCCGAGUCUCCCUGGCGGGUACGAGUGUGACAGUGAGGGACAGCCCAACAUCCCUGGCACCAGACAGCGCGGUGACCGUUGUGGGAGCCUCUGUGCCCGGUCCCUCAAGUGUCCGUGUCACACAAUCGAGGCAUAGUGGUCUGUAAAGAUGAAGACCCUAGAAGGGAGUGUGUACGUGUGACCCUCGGGUCACCUACUCCUCUACUUAUGCCCCUAAUUUAGCAGAAUCACCUCCUGUCCUCCGCGUGGCUGUGCAGAUGGCACAGAUCGGAGAAGAGGCUUGGGGCUUGGGUGCCGGAGCAGGCUUGCUUGCCUUCCUCCCCGAGGCUACUGCAUUACUCCACCCGUUUGAACACCCUCUUUGGUGGGGGAAACAUUCGCUUUCUUAGUGCUGAUUGUGUAUUUCCUGCCAAAACUGAGCUGGGAGCUUGGAGCAAUCCCACUGAAACCUGAGCCGCACAGCCCAGCCCAGCCCGAGGCCUGGAGUCUGCUUCCUCUCCUGGGAAGAUGACAGGGUGAGGUCAUGGCACGCGGGCUGGAGCUGCAGAGAUGCAGCCCUUCCAGAAACCGAGACCAGACGAGUGCCUCCCAAGAAAACAUUCUGGAAGCCAGGUUUUAAUCAACAUUAAAUGAAUCACGGAUUUUUAUAAAGACGGGUAAAUUCCGAUGGUGGCCUGUCUGGAUUUGUUUUAAAACUUAAAACGUACGUUUGGCUUUGAGAAAUGAGAGUACGCUCACAUACCAGCUCCAA